RNAcentral lists this ribosomal RNA (330 nucleotides) under uncultured bacterium. RNAcentral's name for it is "bacterial SSU rRNA". It matches the Rfam family "Bacterial small subunit ribosomal RNA", at positions 568 to 898 of the family's 1533-position model. The record is from RNAcentral.
UCCGUAGACGGUGCGGCAAGUCGGAAGUGAAAUCUCAGGGCUUAACCCUGAGGCUGCUUCCGAAACUGCCGUGCUGGAGUGCGAGAGAGGCGAGUGGAAUUGCAGGUGUAGCGGUGAAAUGCGUAGAUAUCUGCAGGAACAUCCGAGGCGAAAGCGGCUCGCUGGAUCGCAACUGACGCUGAGGGACGAAAGCUAGGGGAGCAAACAGGAUUAGAUACCCUGGUAGUCCUAGCCCUAAACGAUCAGGACUGGGCGUGGGCCUCGUACGGGGCUCGUGCCGCAGCUAACGCGUUAAGUCCUGCGCCUGGGGAGUACGGUCGCAGGGCUGAA